RNAcentral lists this long non-coding RNA (777 nucleotides) under Jatropha curcas. RNAcentral's name for it is "long non-coding RNA (JCUR_LNC002649)". The record is from RNAcentral. Lineage: Eukaryota; Viridiplantae; Streptophyta; Magnoliopsida; Malpighiales; Euphorbiaceae.
AGAUUUGAUCCUACAGCUACCAUAUUCUCACUACCCUCAGCUUACUGUAACGGAAACUUCUCUUUAACUCUGCAACGCCAUAGCUACUCUCUCUCUAUUGUUAAACCAAUUUAAUUCUCUCGCAACCCAUCAUCUCUCUUCCCUCUCGCAACCAAUCAUUACAAAAAAAAUAAAAAAAAAAAAAAGAAAAAAACUAGUCUCUCUUAUCUCUUCCUGCUCUCUCUCUCUCUCUCUCUCUCUCUCAUCACAAUGAAAAUCAUAAAAAAAAGAAGAAAAAAUUAGUCUCUCUUCCAUCUCCUCUUUCUUCAAUGGCUAUGGAUGUUACGAUCCCAUCUCUCUCUCUCAAUCAGAAAGAACGAUCUCUUCCCUUCUUUCGUGAGAGGUGGUUCGUCCAGAAAUCACUGCAUCAGACCGAUGUCGUCGGAAUGGGAAGGUGACGGCGCUGCAAUCGUAAAACAGAGAGGAAAAGCGAGAUUUGGUCCUCUCUUGAAACCCCAAAUUAUUAUUAUAUACCUUGGUUGGGUUCACUUCAGGUUCGAUUCAAUCUGAACCGCACAAUUCUUGAUUUGCUAUUGGUUUUAAUGGGGCUUUGAGUUUGCAAAAUUCAACUCAGCACAGUUGUCGUCCUAAUAAUUGUAUAUCCGGCUUGUCACGUGAGCCAGAGACAUCCGAUUGAUUUUUUUUUUUUUAUUGAGACAUUAAAAUAGAAAGUUUUCGAAAAUUUAAAUAUUAAAGAUAUAAUUAUCCCAAUAAAAUUAACUAAAAUUCUCAAUGUAG